UGGACAGCCACAGCCACUGAGACAGGAACCUGAGCGUGCACUGUACAUCUCGAUGGAACAACCCAAAACUGUCAAAAAGGGUGUUUGCGCAAAACUUAUCAAGUUAAAGAGGAAGAUGGCCACCAGCCGGCUUAAACCUUGGAACUGAAAAGAGGAUUUUUUAACAGAAGAAUCAGCUUGAAAGAAGUACAGAAGAAGUACAAGUAUUUAUAGCAGUGCAGAGAAACUUUGCAGUGGAAAAAGUAGCAGUUAAUGCCAAGCUUGCCAUUUCCAGCAAUUGCUCUAGGAUAUCACAACCACCCACAAGACUGGCCAGAGGAGCUUCCCUGUUAGAGGCUAUGAGCAACCUGUGGGGUGGAUGACAGUAUGUGGAGCAAUGCACAGGAACCUGCAUGGAUGUGCAAGUUGUUUCUGUUAGCCCUGAUAUCUUGCCUUUGCAAAUGGCAGGUUCAGUGUGAAGAAUGAGUCUAAAUCUCCAUACAGAACUGAGUGUGAUUCCACUGGGAAGCUGGCAGAUUUUGCAGAAACCUGUGGAGCUGAAACCACUGAAUACAGCUCCAUUUGCCUUCUGGACUUCUCUGAUGAAAUCCCAAAGGAGGAACUAGAAAGUGCUAUAUGGUAUUAGUGUUCCCUUCUGCAGACAAAGGCAUCCCUGACAGACAAUUCAAACUUGGAUAUUCAACACCAGGCAUGUGCAACAGUGACAAGUGGAUUUUUGUUCUUGUUCCUCAUUCGUGUAUAAUUCCCUGCACAUUCAGAGGAUUACACACUGUUUAUGCAUCAUGCAAUCUUACUGAGUCCUGUUUCUUUACAGUACUUACUCCUGCUGCUAAAGGGAAAAUAGGCUCUAACAAUCCUCUUUUCGUGCCAAAGCUGCUGCUACUGAAUGAACACAUCCUGCCUGCAGUAGUCUGAUUGAUCCCUGCGAUCCCUGUAUCCAACAGAAGUUCAAAAGGAUUCUGCUGCUCAAAGGACUAAAAUUGGUAUUCGUUUAAGAUUUACUGGCAAACUAAAGCUCCUUCAUGUAACAGCAGAUGCUGUUCUGCCUUUCAACUCCACAGCACACCAAAGUGACACUGAACAAGUUCAAACUUUGGAUGGCCUUGACAACAUACUACACCUUAAGACUGCCAUUUCCUAGCUCUGAAUCCUCUUUAGCUCACGAGCAAUAGCUAAUGUCACUGAACUUAGACACAGCUUGCAGCUCCACUCUGAAGCAGGACACAUACACCUGGAACCUGUUCAAAAUAGUAAAUUCUAAAUAAUCUAGCACACGGUAAUGCUUUGCACAGCUACUGUUAAGGCCACCUUUGCAGCUUGUCAAACCCCAUUGCCUUUAAAAGCUCGGUCCUGCUGCUGUGAAGUACAAUUCAUACAUCCUUAUAACCCCUUGCAGUGCUUGGGUAGGCUAAAAAGAUAGGCCUUAACAGAUUGCUCUGAAGAGUGGAGAAUGGAAAUGUUUUCCUGUAACAAAGACCUUUACAGGUUAUAUAUGAAGCGUGUGCUUAUGACCAACCUUAAGACAAAUAGAUGUUUAGACCAGAGGGACAGCAUUUUUAUAGCUUACUUUAUAAAAUAUUCUGAUGUGCCAUCCUCACAUUCACAUGAUUCACAUUCUCUUUUUAAUUGUCUCUCUUCUGAAGAGACAAAGGACUACAAAAUGUAUUGUUAGCUAUGGUGAUCCAAAAUACUCAU
Long non-coding RNA from Pezoporus occidentalis (night parrot), 1695 nucleotides. RefSeq lists it as uncharacterized. NCBI's taxonomy places the organism in Eukaryota, Metazoa, Chordata, Aves, Psittaciformes, Psittacidae. The transcript is spliced from 3 exons. The record is from RefSeq and is a predicted model, not a curated record.